UUUUUUUCUUCUUUUUUAUAUAACGAUGUUUCUAUCACAAGAUUAAAUAUCAGUGUACUUUUCUUCCAAUGUAAUCUUACCUAACAUCAGUAUUGAUUUAUAAAUAAUACAAUUGUCAUGAAAUUCAAAAUAGUGUGGCAAUAGUAUUGCCAGUAAUCUCUUGAUAACAGAAGUUGUCUCCCUUAUAAAAUUUAUUAACAUGGGAAGUAACUCUUGGCACAAACAAGUUUACUGCUGAUUUAGAUCUAAUGCAACAUACUCGUAUAUGUAUUGUAAUAUUGUGUCUUAUAUGUACAGGUUUUUUAAUUUCCUACUUAUCUUUCCUAAUAAUGGAGUGAGUGAAUUUUUCUUUGUUAGGAAACCAUUAUCAGACUCUGUCUAAUCUUCUGAGUUAUGUCCCCUGCUAAAUAAUUACUAUAACAUGAAAAUAGUCUUUUAGACAGCUUACAUUAAAAACUUUUAAAUUUUUAGUGGACGGAUAACUGUAAAUGUUAAGGUCCAGAUUUUUGGGGGGAUAUUUAUUUAUUAAGUUACUAUUUCUUAUCAUGAGGGUAAACCAAUGACAUGUUAUUUCUUCAGUAGAUCUUACAUGUAACAUAUUAUGAUCCAAAAUUAAUAACAUACACUUUGGUUAAAUGACAGCUCUUAAAAUUCCAGGAUGCAAAUACCAUCAUUCCAAAAUUUGCAUUGACAUAUUUUUAAUAAUACAGUGGUUAUCUCCCUUUGCAAGCUUUGUACCCUUGGAUACCAAUGUUUGUUUACCCUUAGCAAUCCUGUCUACAAAUUCUGACAUUACUUUUUUAAUCAUCGAUUUAUCAGUGGAAUAAUUAGACAAAGGGUAAGCAGAUGAAUCAAAAAUCAUUAUAUAAUUAAUUAUGAUUAUCCUUUAACCAGUUUAAAGAAGAAACCAUGAUAAAAGACAAUGUGAUUUUACCAAUCUUACAUGUGUUUUUAACAUGUUAUAAUUCAACAAAUGUUAGUUAAGUAUUU
This 990-nucleotide long non-coding RNA is filed under the name Mytilus galloprovincialis (Mediterranean mussel). Lineage: Eukaryota; Metazoa; Mollusca; Bivalvia; Mytilida; Mytilidae. The record is from RNAcentral.